Molecule: ribosomal RNA, 254 nt
Filed under: uncultured bacterium
Lineage: Bacteria
Description: partial 16S ribosomal RNA
Rfam family: Bacterial small subunit ribosomal RNA
Source: RNAcentral
CACGUAGGGGGCAAGCGUUGUCCGGAUUUAUUGGGCGUAAAGAGCUCGUAGGUGGUUCGGUAAGUCGGGUGUUAAACCCCCAGGCUCAACCUGGGGACGCCACUCGAUACUGCUGUGACUCGAGUCCGGUAGGGGAGCGUGGAAUUCCUGGUGUAGCGGUGAAAUGCGCAGAUAUCAGGAGGAACACCAGCGGCGAAGGCGGCGCUCUGGGCCGGUACUGACACUGAGGAGCGAAAGCGUGGGUAGCAAACAGG